UGGGGGAUAUUGCACAAUGGGCGAAAGCCUGAUGCAGCGACGCCGCGUGGGGGAUGAAGGCCUUCGGGUUGUAAACUUCUUUUGCUCUGAACAAGGCAUGCCUUUGGGGUGUGUUGAGUGUAGGGGUUGAUUAGCGCCGGCUAACUACGUGCCAGCAGCCGCGGUAAUACGUAGGGCGCGAGCGUUGUCCGGAAUUAUUGGGCGUAAAGGGCUUGUAGGUGGCUGGUUGCGUCUGUCGUGAAAGCUCAUGGCUUAACUGUGGGUUUGCGGUGGGUACGGGCUGGCUUGAGUUCAGUAGGGGAGGCUGGAAUUCCUGGUGUAGCGGUGGAAUGCGCAGAUAUCAGGAGGAAUACCGGUGGCGAAGGCGGGUCUCUGGGCUGUUACUGACGCUGAGGAGCGAAAGCGUGGGGAGCGAACAGG
This 420-nucleotide ribosomal RNA is filed under the name Fusobacteriota bacterium. RNAcentral's name for it is "Fusobacteria bacterium partial 16S ribosomal RNA". It matches the Rfam family "Bacterial small subunit ribosomal RNA", at positions 355 to 776 of the family's 1533-position model. The record is from RNAcentral. Lineage: Bacteria; Fusobacteriati; Fusobacteriota.